RNAcentral lists this long non-coding RNA (469 nucleotides) under Mytilus galloprovincialis (Mediterranean mussel). The record is from RNAcentral. Lineage: Eukaryota; Metazoa; Mollusca; Bivalvia; Mytilida; Mytilidae.
ACAGGGAAAUGUAUUGCUCUCUUAAGUCUGCACAUCUAUGCCGAAAUAUAUUUAUCCAUUAAGCCAUUAAUAAUGCAGUAUUUCUAUCAUUACGUCAAGAUCCGGGUUAGUUGAUAUGUAAAUAUCUCUUAAUGUGAAAUUCAAAAUAAAUUAUGAUGUCUAUGAUUAGAACUUUUAGUCUAUGACCUAUUUGAUUAGUCAGGUGAUCUGUCUAACAUUUCCUCAACCGACAAUUCUGUAGGAUUUUUCGUCCUUAGAUAGGUGCACUUUUGAAUUCCUUCGAGAAUUUCGGCAUUUUUCCGAUUUGUCAUUUGUUUGUGUUCUUCCUCUUUUAUAUACGUUAUGAUAUGACGCUCCUCGUAGACGUUAGUGGUAUUAAUGGUUUUUGGGUAUCCUUUGGUUUAACUCGCGUUUUAAACGUAUCAUCUGACGUUCGUAUUUUUCCAUUUCCGGUGAACUAUCACGUGAU